GAUGAACGCUAGCUACAGGCUUAACACAUGCAAGUCGAGGGGAAACGGCAUUGAGUGCUUGCACUCUUUGGACGUCGACCGGCGCACGGGUGAGUAACGCGUAUCCAACCUUCCCAUUACUGUGGGAUAACCUGCCGAAAGGCAGACUAAUACCGCAUAGUCUUCGAUGACGGCAUCAGAUUUGAAGUAAAGAUUUAUCGGUAAUGGAUGGGGAUGCGUCUGAUUAGCUUGUUGGCGGGGUAACGGCCCACCAAGGCUACGAUCAGUAGGGGUUCUGAGAGGAAGGUCCCCCACAUUGGAACUGAGACACGGUCCAAACUCCUACGGGAGGCAGCAGUGAGGAAUAUUGGUCAAUGGACGGAAGUCUGAACCAGCCAAGUAGCGUGCAGGAUGACGGCCCUAUGGGUGGUAAACUGCUUUUGGAUGGGGAUAAAGUUAGGGACGUGUCCCUAUUUGCAGGUACCAUACGAAUAAGGACCGGCUAAUUCCGUG
Molecule: ribosomal RNA, 492 nt
Filed under: uncultured bacterium
Lineage: Bacteria
Description: partial 16S ribosomal RNA
Rfam family: Bacterial small subunit ribosomal RNA
Source: RNAcentral